This is a long non-coding RNA of Alexandromys fortis (reed vole), 2986 nucleotides long. RefSeq lists it as uncharacterized. The transcript has 6 exons. Lineage: Eukaryota; Metazoa; Chordata; Mammalia; Rodentia; Cricetidae. The record is from RefSeq and is a predicted model, not a curated record.
CAGCUAUGGGAGGACGAGUAAGGGGCAAAGACAACAGACUCCUGUGUCUUCGAGUCCCAGCUGCACUGACACUGAAGAGCAGGGCAGUGUGGGAUGUGGGUCUCAGUGAGUGGGGACAGCACCUGGGGCAGUGCAUCAUACAGGGGAGAGGGCUCCCCCAUGUUUGUAGUCGCUGCACUUCACAUGGAAAAUGCUGUUAGCAAACUCUCAUGAGUUGUGUGUGUGUAUUGAAUAACACAGAGCAGAUGCUGGGAGGACAAUAGUAGAGAUGUAAAGAGAGAAGAUGAAUAAAAAGGCAUCUACUUGGAGACUGUCCAAGAAACCCAUGUGGCAGGAUAGGGAACCAAAAAUGAAAGAACGAAAGCAGAGCAAAUAGAGAAACCACAAAACAAUAAAACAUUGAGUUUAAAUGCUUACAUGUAAAUUGUAAAGAGACAUGUUCUAUCUCUCCCAAUUAAUGAUGAGACCUGAAUAAUAAAUUUCCCAAGUAUAUGAAGUCCAGAUGGAUGCAAUUUUAGUAUUAUGUUUAGGUAAACGUAAAGGAACUGAAAAGCAAAAUCCUUUCACAUACUGACCAAAGGGGAGGCUGCCGGGUGUAAGAGAUCAGAGAAAAUUCAGGAAAAUUAAAUUUACUCUGGAUAAGGAGGGACAUUAUAUAGCCACAGUUAAGUCAUCAAAUGGCGCCUGCCAAUCUUAAAUGUCACUGUUUACACAGAACAAACUUCCUAAUUUAUUUAUUUAUUUUAUUUAUAAACUGAUUGUCCCAUUAUCUCUGGUUUCUUAUUAACUCUUGUUUUCUUUUCUUUUUAAAUUAAAAAUUUCCACCUCCUCUCCUUCUCCCAUUUACCUCCCCCUCCUCCUACUCCCAUUCUCCCUUUCUCUCCAGUCUAAAGAGCAGUCAGGGUUCCCUGACCUGUGGGAAGUCCAAGGUCCUCUCCCCUCCAUGCAGGUCUAGGAAGGUGAGCAUCCAAACAGACUAGGCUCCCACAAAGCCAGUCCAUGCAGUAGAUUCAAAACCCAGUGCCAUUGUCCUUGGCUUCUCAGUCAGCCCUCAUUGUCAGCCACGUUCAGAGAGUCCGGACAGAAAUAGAAAACACUAUCCUGAGUGAGGUAACCCAGACCCAAAAAGAUGAAUAUGAACCUUCUGGUGAAGGAUGGAUGACAUGGCGAUGGCAAUGGCGAUGGAUGGAGACAGAGACAGAGACCCACACUGGAGCACCGGACUGAGCUCCCAAAGUCCAAAUGAGGAGCAGAAGGAGAAAGAACAUGAGCAAGGAAGUCAGGACCUUGAGAUUGCGCCCACCCACUGAGACGGCAGGGCUGAUCUAAUGGGAGCUCAGGAAGGCCAGCUGGACUGGGACUGAUGGAGCAUGUGAUCAAACUUCCCAAUUUAAUUAGGGAAGAGCUUCCAGAACUGAGUGGAGAGUGGAGAAACUCUCCCAAGGGACCUGGACACUUGCUUGUGACUUUCUUACUUCCUGUGUGAAGAUGAUUUAUGGUCUGGCUGCCUUCCCAUUCCCAGUGGAGAUGCUGAAGGAAAGCAGUUACAUGCCAAAGAUAGGAUUGUGGUAGACAAUCCAGACUGUUGUUUUGUCAACCCAGAGGGUGGUUCAGAUCUGCCUCUUCCGGUCCUCAUGGCAUCUCCAGAAUACAGAACCAUGGGAACAGGCCAGCAUGUGCCUAGAGAGACAACAUGGACCAUCCAUGGGAAGAUAACUGGACAUGGGCUAACAAUCAUCAACCUAGCUCCUUCCUCCAGGGACAUGUGAAGAGAUUCCUGUGUGAAGAUGAUGUAUGUAUGGUCUGACUGCCUUCCCAUUACCCCCUGGAUGAGUCUCAUUCUCCUGUUACAAUGCCUUCACUAUCAUAACAAACUUUAUCCUGUGGAUGUAUCAGGCAAAACAAAUUCUUUUCUUCUCUAAGUCAGUGAUUCAGAGGACCAAAAUAUUCUAUCUCAGGAAAAUAAAUGGAAGGAAUGUAAUUACUAAAAUGCUUUCUGCUUGUCAAACUUAAGAGGUGAAUUUGAAAGAUUAAUUUUAGAAUCAGCCUGUGAGUAGAGCUCACUUUCUAUGAUUUCUGGGCCUUUGCCUAUAUAAAGUCAUAUAUGUUGUCUGUAUUGAUAUGUAUUUUGUCUCUAUUACAUGAGGUAAUUAAUAAAAUCUUUUUUAUUGUAAAUAAAGUUAUGAUUUGAUAUUUUAACAUCUAGCUUGGUGUACCUAUUGUAAUAUUAUAAGAUAAAACUAGUGUCAGAAAAGUGCAGAGUUAGGUUUUAGGGUCUCUGUUUCAUUGUAUCAUUAAAAAAAUAUUUGUGUUUUCAAUAGAAAAUAUUCUUUUUUCCUUUUCUACUUCUAUUUUUAUUUUUUUAUUUUUUAGUGAUUUUUAUUGAUCCCUACAUUUUUCUCUACUCCCUCCCCUGACUCUCCCCUCCUCUUCAGUGCACUCUAAGGUCCCAUGCUCCGAAUUUACUCAGGAGAUCUUGUCUUUUUAUACUACCCAUGUAGAUUGGAUCUAUGUAUGUCUCUCGUAGGGUCCUCAUUGUUGUCUAGGUUCUCUGAGAUUGUGAUUUGCGGGCUGGUUUUCUUUGCUUUAUGUUUAAAAACCACUUAUAAAUAAGUAAUGCGUUAAUUGUCUUUCUGGGACUGGGUCACCUCACUCAAAAUGAUGUUUUCUAGCUCCAUUCAUUUGUCUGUAGAAAUUCAAGAUGUCGUUAUUUUCUUCUGCUGUGUAGUACUCCAUUGUGUAGAUGUACCACAGUUUUCUUAUUCAUUCUUUGGUCGAGGGGCAUUUAGGUUGCUGAUCCCUUCCAAUUUUUGUUUGUCUUUUCCUCUAUUUCUUUAAAGGAAUUUCUCAUUUCCUCUUUAUGAGUUUCAAACAUUCUCAUGAAGCUAUUUUUUUCCUACUUCAUUUAUGUUUGGUUGUCCAAGUCUUGCUGUUGUAGAGUCUUUAUGUUUUAUUGGUGUUGUGUUACUCUUUGUGGUGUUGCAUG